RNAcentral lists this ribosomal RNA (429 nucleotides) under Gemmatimonadota bacterium. Its description in RNAcentral is "Gemmatimonadetes bacterium partial 16S ribosomal RNA". It matches the Rfam family "Bacterial small subunit ribosomal RNA", at positions 355 to 776 of the family's 1533-position model. Lineage: Bacteria; Pseudomonadati; Gemmatimonadota. The record is from RNAcentral.
UAGGGAAUCUUCGGCAAUGGACGAAAGUCUGACCGAGCAACGCCGCGUGAGUGAAGAAGGUUUUCGGAUCGUAAAACUCUGUUGAUAGAGAAGAACAAGGACGUUAGUAACUGAACGUCCCAUGACGGUAUCUAACCAGAAAGCCACGGCUAACUACGUGCCAGCAGUCGCGGUAAUACGUAGGUGGCAAGCGUUGUCCGGAUGUAUUGGGCGUAAAGCGAGCGCAGGCGGUUUCUUAAGUCUGAUGUGAAAGCCCCCGGCUCAACCGGGGAGGGUCAUUGGAAACUGGGAGACUUGAGUGCAGAAGAGGAGAGUGGAAUUCCAUGUGUAGCGGUGAAAUGCGUAGAUAUAUGGAGGAACACCAGUGGCGAAGGCGGCUCUCUGGUCUGUAACUGACGCUGAGGUUCGAAAGCGUGGGGAGCAAACAGG